UCGACCGCCUGGGGAGUACGGCCGCAAGGUUAAAACUCAAAUGAAUUGACGGGGGCCCGCACAAGCGGUGGAGCAUGUGGUUUAAUUCGAUGCAACGCGAAGAACCUUACCUGGUCUUGACAUCCACGGAAGUUUUCAGAGAUGAGAAUGUGCCUUCGGGAACCGUGAGACAGGUGCUGCAUGGCUGUCGUCAGCUCGUGUUGUGAAAUGUUGGGUUAAGUCCCGCAACGAGCGCAACCCUUAUCCUUUGUUGCCAGCGGUCCGGCCGGGAACUCAAAGGAGACUGCCAGUGAUAAACUGGAGGAAGGUGGGGAUGACGUCAAGUCAUCAUGGCCCUUACGACCAGGGCUACACACGUGCUACAAUGGCGCAUACAAAGAGAAGCGACCUCGCGAGAGCAAGCGGACCUCAUAAAGUGCGUCGUAGUCCGGAUUGGAGUCUGCAACUCGACUCCAUGAAGUCGGAAUCGCUAGUAAUCGUGGAUCAGAAUGCCACGGUGAAUACGUUCCCGGGCCUUGUACACACCGCCCGUCACACCAUGGGAGUGGGUUGCAAAAGAAGUAGGUAGCUUAACCUUCGGGAGGGCGCUUACCACUUUGUGAUUCAUGACUGGGGUGAAGUCGUAACAAGGUAACCGUAGGGGAACCUGCGGUUGGAUCACCUCCUUACCUUAAAGAAGC
RNAcentral lists this ribosomal RNA (680 nucleotides) under Escherichia coli. RNAcentral describes it as "bacterial SSU rRNA". It matches the Rfam family "Bacterial small subunit ribosomal RNA", at positions 865 to 1533 of the family's 1533-position model. The record is from RNAcentral. Lineage: Bacteria; Pseudomonadati; Pseudomonadota; Gammaproteobacteria; Enterobacterales; Enterobacteriaceae.